Molecule: ribosomal RNA, 253 nt
Filed under: uncultured bacterium
Lineage: Bacteria
Description: partial 16S ribosomal RNA
Rfam family: Bacterial small subunit ribosomal RNA
Source: RNAcentral
UACGUAGGGUGCAAGCGUUGUCCGGAAUUAUUGGGCGUAAAGAGCUCGUAGGCGGUUUGUCGCGUCGAAUGUGAAAACCCGGGGCUCAACCCCGGGCCUGCAUUCGAUACGGGCAGACUAGAGUUCGGUAGGGGAGUCUGGAAUUCCUGGUGUAGCGGUGAAAUGCGCAGAUAUCAGAAGGAACACCGGUGGCGAAGGCGGGACUCUGGGCCGAUACUGACGCUGAGGAGCGAAAGCGUGGGGAGCAAACAGG